This is an RNA transcript of Astyanax mexicanus (Mexican tetra), 1019 nucleotides long. RefSeq lists it as uncharacterized. The record is from RefSeq and is a predicted model, not a curated record. The transcript is spliced from 2 exons. Lineage: Eukaryota; Metazoa; Chordata; Actinopteri; Characiformes; Acestrorhamphidae.
AGCUAUUGGCUCCUGAGCUGGAGAAGAGUUCUGCGAUUUGAUUGGUUCUUCAGCGGAGCUCCGGGGGUCUCGAGCUGCAUGAUUUGAUCAGAUCCAGACUUAAAUCCCAAACUGUUCCACCACUCUACUCCUCCUGUUGUUCACUUUCUGACCUGAUUAAAAUUCAGCUUCUCAAAAACACACAGUCAGAAGAUGGAGAAAGAGGAGAAGAACAUGACAUCUGAAGAAAUCUGCAGUACUCAGCAGCAAUCCUCUCCUACAUCCUGUGGACAAAUGACGUCCACAAGUUUAGACAGCAAUAAAACUCACCACUGCUCAGACUGUGGGAGGAGUUUUGCUUCAGAGAGUAAUCUCAGAGCACACCAGCGUAUUCACACCGGGGUAAAACCGUAUCACUGCUCAGUCUGUGGGAAGAGUUUUACUCAUCAGACAAGUCUACAAGUACACCAGCGCAUUCACACUGGAGAGAAACCGUAUCACUGCUCAGACUGUGGGAAGAGUUUUAAUCAACAGAGUAAUCUCAAAACGCACCAGAACAUUCACACUGGAGUGAAACCGUAUUACUGCGUAGACUGUGGGAAGAGUUUUACUCAUCAGAGAAGUCUACAACAACACCAGCGCAUUCACACUGGAGUGAAACCGUAUCACUGCUUAGAAUGUGGGAAGAGUUUUCAUCAACAGAUUAAUCUCCAACUACACCAGCGCAUUCACACAGGAGAGAAACCGUAUCAAUGUUUAGAGUGUGGGAGGAGUUUUAAUCAACAGAGGAGUCUCCAAUUACACCAGCGCAUUCACACUGGAGAGAAACCAUAUCACUGCAUUGAGUGUGGAAAGAGUUUUCAUCACCAGUGUACACUACGACGACACCAACAUAUUCACACUGGAGUGAAACCGUAUCACUGCUCAGAGUGUGGGAAGAGUUUUACUAAACAGAAAUAUCUACAACUACACCAGCGCAUUCACACUGGAGAGAAACUGUAACGCUGUUCAGACUGUGGAAAGAGUUUUAAUCAUGAGGG